Molecule: non-coding RNA, 73 nt
Organism: Pangasianodon gigas (Mekong giant catfish)
Lineage: Eukaryota; Metazoa; Chordata; Actinopteri; Siluriformes; Pangasiidae
Source: the annotation of a GenBank genome assembly
GCGGUUCAUUAUUCUUUACGUUAAUUACACAGAUGCGGCACUCUCAGCAUUAGGUGAACAGUUAGAUGCUACU